This 1048-nucleotide long non-coding RNA is filed under the name Sorghum bicolor (sorghum). RNAcentral's name for it is "long non-coding RNA (SBIC_LNC013578)". Lineage: Eukaryota; Viridiplantae; Streptophyta; Magnoliopsida; Poales; Poaceae. The record is from RNAcentral.
GGGAAUGAGACAGUUCUAUUCUAGGGAGCAAACUAGGUAAAAAUUUCUGUAUUGAGGGUGGGGGUGCACUAUGUAAUAAAGUUUCUUUUUACAUAAUCUUUUUUAACCUUUUUUUCACUAGAUUCGUGUCCGUACGUUGCUACGUGAUAGCUAAACUUUCGUAUUAAAAAACAUACGGAUCACAUGAUAAUAAUACUAUGAAAUUAUAUACCGACAUUUUAUUCAAUAUCAGACAAAUCAUACUUUACACAAAUCCAACUAUAAGAACAUGGCUAAAUGCCUAGAGCGUGAAGCUUGCAUGUGACUAUCAAAAUAAUUAUGUAGAUCAAAUAGUGGCGAAGCGUGCAAGUAUGCAACCACCUCUGUGUCCUCAUGUGUUGCAGCUGGAUGAUGUUACCACAAGAUGAAUGUAGAGUAGGACUUAUGAUCUGCAUUCAGUACAAACUUAACUCAAAUCUAGAUCAUAAAAUCAAUUUAUGAACAGACUAGCUAUUGUCCUUUCAUAGAAAAUAGCCGUUAACAUGGAGAUGCAGGAAAUACAAAAUUAUCAGGUUCGCAACAACAGUAUGUUUAUUUGUUUCGUCAAAGAGAUUGUGUAAUCUUUCUAAUCUAAUAUAAACUAUAUCACUCAAACGAUAGGACUAUUUGCACCUUAAAUUCAAACAAACUGAUAAGAGAAAUGCAUUCUGACAAGAAUCAUUAAUAAACUUAAAACAGUUGAAUAUCUUAUGAGAUCUAAAGGAUGGUCCACUCUAUUGAAUCAACAAAACAUGGUGACGGACUGUUGACUGCUGCUUGAGCCAUAGGGCACAUCAUGAGAGUGUAACAGCUUCUUCAUGCUCCUAUAUGUCACUUGUCACCUGCAAACGCCCACGAAACUGACACACACAUAAAAAGAAAUAUUACUACCAAUGUUUUAGCCGAAGAAUAUCAAGUUAUAAGCCAAUAACUAAUACAAAUUUAUUUUUUUUCAUUUGGACUAAACAAAAAUGAUAAGCUGGCUAAUCAUUGCCAUAUAACACAAAACUAGCCGAAGAAUAUCAGGUUA